GCUUCGGGCGCUCGCUGGUGGCGGACCCGGAGGCUGCUGCUGCGUGCCGGGGCUCCUUGGCCCGGAUCGAAUUCGAUCCGGAGCCAUGAGUAUGGACAAGGCCGAGCUAUGCGGGUCUCUGCUCACCUGGGUAGGGCCCCUAGAGACCCUUCCUGGUUCAACGACGCAUGGCUCCAAGGCAUCUCAGAGGACCCGAGUCCCAGCUGGAGGUUGAAGGUCAGGAAGCUGGAGAGGAUCCUACAGAGCUUGGUGGAAUACUCAAAGGAUGUUCUGGGGCACCCUGUGUCACAUCAGCAUCUUCCAGAUGUGAGCCUCAUCGGCGAGUUCUCAAACCCCGCAGAACUCGGCAAACU
This 353-nucleotide long non-coding RNA is filed under the name Rattus norvegicus (Norway rat). Its description in RNAcentral is "long non-coding RNA NONRATT014149". Lineage: Eukaryota; Metazoa; Chordata; Mammalia; Rodentia; Muridae. The record is from RNAcentral.